This 252-nucleotide ribosomal RNA is filed under the name uncultured bacterium. RNAcentral describes it as "partial 16S ribosomal RNA". It matches the Rfam family "Bacterial small subunit ribosomal RNA", at positions 524 to 776 of the family's 1533-position model. The record is from RNAcentral.
UACGUAGGGGGCAAGCGUUGUCCGGAAUUAUUGGGCGUAAAGCGCGCGCAGGCGGUCAUUUAAGUCUGGUGUAUAAACUCGGGGCUCAACUCCGAGUCGCACUGGAAACUGGGUGACUUGAGUGCAGAAGAGGAGAGUGGAAUUCCACGUGUAGCGGUGAAAUGCGUAGAGAUGUGGAGGAACACCAGUGGCGAAGGCGACUCUCUGGGCUGUAACUGACGCUGAGGCGCGAAAGCGUGGGUAGCAAACAGG